AUUGAACGCUGGCGGCAGGCCUAACACAUGCAAGUCGAGCGGUAACAGAUUGAUAGCUUGCUAUCAAUGCUGACGAGCGGCGGACGGGUGAGUAAUGCCUGGGAAUAUACCCUGAUGUGGGGGAUAACUAUCGGAAACGAUAGCUAAUACCGCAUAAUCUCUUCGGAGCAAAGAGGGGGACCUUCGGGCCUCUCGCGUCAGGAUUAGCCCAGGUGGGAUUAGCUAGUUGGUGGGGUAAUGGCUCACCAAGGCGACGAUCCCUAGCUGGUCUGAGAGGAUGAUCAGCCACACUGGAACUGAGACACGGUCCAGACUCCUACGGGAGGCAGCAGUGGGGAAUAUUGCACAAUGGGGGAAACCCUGAUGCAGCCAUGCCGCGUGUAUGAAGAAGGCCUUCGGGUUGUAAAGUACUUUCAGUUGUGAGGAAGGCGUUGGAGUUAAUAGCUUUAGCGUUUGACGUUAGCAACAGAAGAAGCACCGGCUAACUCCGUG
RNAcentral lists this ribosomal RNA (492 nucleotides) under uncultured bacterium. Its description in RNAcentral is "partial 16S ribosomal RNA". It matches the Rfam family "Bacterial small subunit ribosomal RNA", at positions 30 to 507 of the family's 1533-position model. The record is from RNAcentral.